CUGGUUUGAUUGGAUGACCAGUCACACUGGAACUGACACACGGUCCAUACUCCUACGGGUGGUAUCAGUGGGGAAUUUUGGACAAUGGGCGAAACCCUGAUCCAUCCCUGCCGCGUGUGUGAAGAAGGUCUUCGGAUUGUAAAGCACUUUUGGUUGGAAAGAAGGGCCGUGGGUUAAUACCUCGCUAAUUUGACGUUACCUGCAUAAUAAGCACCGGCUAACUUCGUGCCAACAACCGCGGUAAUACGAAGGGUGCAAGCGUUAAUCGGAAUUACUGGGCGUAAAGCGCGCGCAGGUGGUUCGUAAAGUAAGAUGUGAAAUCCCAAUUCUUAACCUUGGAACUGCCUUCUUAGCUGGCAAGCUAGUGUUUGGCAAAGGGAGGUGUUAUUCCCUGUGUAGCCUUCAAAUGCUAAAAUACGGAGGAACACCCGUGGCGAAGGCUUCCUCCUGGUAUAAUACUGACACUCAUGACAAAAGCGUAGCAAGCAACAAGAUCACAUCCCUGCUAGUCCACCCCCAAACAACACCAAUACGUCGGGUCUUGCAUCCGCAUUUCACAAACUAGAGUAGAGAGAGUGGGGGGGAGUUUGCUUUCCGACUGUUGCAUUAGUAGAUAUAGAUAGGAGCAGGAACGGCGAUGGGCGACGCUCUUGGUCUAAUUAUUACUCUGACGUUCGAAAGCGUGGGGGGGGGGACGCAAACAGGUAUCGAUGUUGUGCUAAUAAGUGAACCCCUUGGCGAGUAGGGCCCCAAGGUAAAAAUUCAACUCAAAUGAAGGGGCCCCGCCCAAGCGGUGGGGCAGAUGGUUUAAUUUGAAUCAAUGCAAAGAACAUAACCUGGCCUUGCCAUGCAAAGAACUGUCUAGAGAAGAGAUUGUGCCGUGGGGACAUGUGAAACAGACCAACCUCAUCCUUAGUUACCCAAACCGGAGGAAGGUGGGGAUGACGUCAAGUCUUCAUGGCCCUUACGGGGGGGGAAACAAAAAAAAUACAAUGGUUUUUUCAAAGGGUUGCCCAGCCGCGAGAAGGGGGAAAAAAGGAAAACCCUAUGGGUUUCUGGGGGGUUUUACCCGGGCUCGGAAAGGGGAAAAAAGGUAACCAGUAAGGGUUCCUCAGGAGUUUGCCCCGGGCUCGGAAAGUGGUAACAAGGUAACCAGUAUUG
Molecule: ribosomal RNA, 1161 nt
Filed under: Stutzerimonas stutzeri
Lineage: Bacteria; Pseudomonadati; Pseudomonadota; Gammaproteobacteria; Pseudomonadales; Pseudomonadaceae
Description: Pseudomonas stutzeri partial 16S ribosomal RNA
Rfam family: Bacterial small subunit ribosomal RNA
Source: RNAcentral